GACGAACGCUGGCGGCGUGCUUAACACAUGCAAGUCGAACGAUGAAGCCGGAGCUUGCUCUGGUGAAUUAGUGGCGAACGGGUGAGUAACACGUGAGUAACCUGCCCUUGACUCUGGGAUAACUGCUAGAAAUGGUAGCUAAUACCGGAUACGACCCUCGGAGGCAUCUCCAGGGGGUGGAAAGAAUUUCGGUCAAGGAUGGACUCGCGGCCUAUCAGCUAGUUGGUGAGGUAACGGCUCACCAAGGCGACGACGGGUAGCCGGCCUGAGAGGGUGACCGCGCACACUGGGACUGGGACACGGCCCAGACUCCUACGGGAGGCAGCAGUGGGGAAUAUUGCACAAUGGGCGCAAGCCUGAUGCAGCAACGCCGCGUGAGGGAUGACGGCCUUCGGGUUGUAAACCUCUUUUAGUAGGGAAGAAGCGAAAGUGACGGUACCUGCAGAAAAAGCACCGGCUAACUACGUGCCAGCCGCCGCCGUAA
RNAcentral lists this ribosomal RNA (484 nucleotides) under uncultured bacterium. Its description in RNAcentral is "partial 16S ribosomal RNA". It matches the Rfam family "Bacterial small subunit ribosomal RNA", at positions 28 to 523 of the family's 1533-position model. The record is from RNAcentral.